GAACAACUGGAAGGAGGUGGUCGAAUGUCUCAUUGUUACACGCCGCUCGUGGCAAACCUGAUGAGUGCGACCCCCGCUGGCGGGGCUGUCCAGCUCUAAGGAUUAAGCCAGUAGUGGCUGACAAUGGAAAGGCCGCCCCUCCCGGGGCGGCCUU
This 154-nucleotide small RNA is filed under the name Sphingomonas sp. PP-F2F-A104-K0414. RNAcentral describes it as "caulobacter sRNA CC2171". It matches the Rfam family "caulobacter sRNA CC2171", at positions 1 to 138 of the family's 159-position model. Lineage: Bacteria; Pseudomonadati; Pseudomonadota; Alphaproteobacteria; Sphingomonadales; Sphingomonadaceae. The record is from RNAcentral.